RNAcentral lists this ribosomal RNA (827 nucleotides) under Xepicula jollymannii. RNAcentral describes it as "eukaryotic LSU rRNA". It matches the Rfam family "Eukaryotic large subunit ribosomal RNA", at positions 74 to 935 of the family's 3401-position model. Lineage: Eukaryota; Fungi; Ascomycota; Sordariomycetes; Hypocreales; Stachybotryaceae. The record is from RNAcentral.
AUUGCCUCAGUAACGGCGAGUGAAGCGGCAACAGCUCAAAUUUGAAAUCUGGCCCUAGGCCCGAGUUGUAAUUUGCAGAGGAUGCUUUUGGCAAGGUGCCUUCCGAGUUUCCUGGAACGGGACGCCAUAGAGGGUGAGAGCCCCGUCUGGUCGGACACCGAGCCUCUGUAAAGCUCCUUCGACGAGUCGAGUAGUUUGGGAAUGCUGCUCAAAAUGGGAGGUAUAUGUCUUCUAAAGCUAAAUACCGGCCAGAGACCGAUAGCGCACAAGUAGAGUGAUCGAAAGAUGAAAAGCACUUUGAAAAGAGAGUUAAAUAGCACGUGAAAUUGUUGAAAGGGAAGCGUUUAUGACCAGACUUGGCCCGGUUGAUCAUCCAGCGUUCUCGCUGGUGCACUCUGCCGGUCCAGGCCAGCAUCAGUUCGUCGCGGGGGAUAAAGGUUUCGGGAAUGUGGCUCCUCCGGGAGUGUUAUAGCCCGUUGCGUAAUACCCUGCGGUGGACUGAGGUCCGCGCUUCUGCAAGGAUGCUGGCGUAAUGGUCAUCAACGACCCGUCUUGAAACACGGACCAAGGAGUCGUCUUCGUAUGCGAGUGUUCGGGUGUAAAACCCCUACGCGUAAUGAAAGUGAACGCAGGUGAGAGCUUCGGCGCAUCAUCGACCGAUCCUGAUGUUCUCGGAUGGAUUUGAGUAAGAGCAUACGGGGCCGGACCCGAAAGAAGGUGAACUAUGCCUGUAUAGGGUGAAGCCAGAGGAAACUCUGGUGGAGGCUCGCAGCGGUUCUGACGUGCAAAUCGAUCGUCAAAUAUGGGCAUGGGGGCGAAAGACUAAU